UCAUAGGUAUUUUUAAUUGAUUUGUGAUGAGGUUCAAAACUCUCAUUCGGUCUUGAUGACAUAUCAGGUGAUCGAACUGUUGUCAGAAAAUAUCUUCUCGAGUUCAUCGAGGUGACUUGCACAGAAUAACACAUAAGCUAAGGAGCUCCAAGGGUGAGCUCGGGGGAACCCCUCCAAUAUUCAAGUCAGUAAGCUAUCAAUUUAGGGAGUGCUCGGAGUUCUCUCUCUCAAGUAGCAACUAUGAGUGCAGAGUUCGUAAUUGUUUACCUGGAGCUGGAGAUCUCCCUUUAUAUGAAUUGGAGAAAUUUUGGUAAGAAAUAUCUCUACCAUCCUAAUUCUUAAUUAGGCGGAUUUUGAGGAGUGUGAAUCUCAUCUUGACUUCUUUCCUAAGUGGAGUCAGUCUUCUUUAGGACUCUUGCUGUUUGGUUAUCAAGGGGAUUCCGAGGGUGGCAAGCAAGAUGAUUGCGUGGAUCCUCACUCCAGAGGAUAACGAGCAUCUUUCCAUGAUGUCUGUUACUGAGAAGAUUUUGUAACUCAUUGUUGCAACAAUGAAUCCAUCAGAAAGUUUAUGUUCGAGGUGGCUGCUUUGAAGCACAAGCGAAACACUAAGGAUCGGGUGGCUCAGCUUGAGGACAUGGCGAAGGUGUCUGAUCGGGAUACCGAGAAGAAAUCAAGAAGGCUUUAGCGAUGGCUUCGACAAGGGAUAUUAGGCAGGCAUUGAGGAUUUCAGGAGCUGGAAGGAGUUCAGGUUUGUCAUUCGAGAAGAAGGACUUUUUUACUUGGUGAGCUUCUACUAAGAAGGCGAGGAGAACUAUGAUCCAAAUAUGCCUCAACCAGAAUUUGCUUAAUGAGACCUGCCCUACUCUGGAGGGAAAAAUAUGAUCUUGCGAAGUCAAGGGAGGAGAUCAUGGAGUUUCAUCGUCUAGCCUGAGAAGAGGCCAAAAGAGCAUAUGAGAAAUCCGAAGAAGAGGAUUUCGAGGAGGAUGAGGUGGACCUCACUCAUUCUCCUCCUAUGAAUCCUUCCCCUGUUCGUUCCUCAAUUAUUGUUUUGGAUGGGAUAGGUGAGGAUGAGGCUCCUCGAGUUCCUGAGGAUAAUGUUUCUUUUGUUCAAUCCCCAACUCCUUCUAUUGAAGUCCUUACUGAUCUCCCACCGAUCAUGUGCCUAUAGAGAAUGAGGUUAACUCUAACAGAUUCCUUGUACUUUCAUCUUUUAAACAAUGAUGUACCAUUUUCUCUUUCAAUAAAUAAAAUUUGAUCUCUUCAGUUGUCCUA
Long non-coding RNA from Tripterygium wilfordii, 1272 nucleotides. RefSeq lists it as uncharacterized. Lineage: Eukaryota; Viridiplantae; Streptophyta; Magnoliopsida; Celastrales; Celastraceae. The transcript is spliced from 2 exons. The record is from RefSeq and is a predicted model, not a curated record.